This 498-nucleotide ribosomal RNA is filed under the name Monascostroma sphagnophilum. Its description in RNAcentral is "SSU rRNA". It matches the Rfam family "Bacterial small subunit ribosomal RNA", at positions 423 to 1061 of the family's 1533-position model. Lineage: Eukaryota; Fungi; Ascomycota; Dothideomycetes; Pleosporales. The record is from RNAcentral.
UCGAAUAAAGUUCUAAAUAGAUAAAUGAUAAUGACAAAUUUCUAUUUAUGUGUCUUGACUAAUUUUUGUGCCAGCAGUCGCGGUAAUACAAAUAAGACUAGUGUUAUUCAUCCUUAUUAGGUUUAAAGGGUACCUAGACAGCAACUUAGUUUGCUAGAGUUUUAUGUGAGAGGUUAAUAUUUGAACUAUUAGAGUAGUGAUGAAAUACUUUUAUACUAAUGGGAAAUAUAAUGGCGAAAGCAACCCUCUAUGUAAAAACUGACGUUGAGGGACGAAGCCUCGGGUAGCAAAGAGGAUUAGAUACCCUAGUAGUCCGAGGAGACAAUUAUGAGUGUUAUAUAUAAAUGAAAGUGCAAGCACUCCACCUCAAGAGUAAUGUGGCAACACAGGAACUGAAAUCAUUAGACCGUUUCUGAAACCAGUAGUGAAGUAUGUUAUUUAAUUCGAUGAUCCUCGAAAAAUCUUACCACACAAGCGUUGCACGGCUGUCUUCAGCUA